This 422-nucleotide ribosomal RNA is filed under the name Fusobacteriota bacterium. RNAcentral's name for it is "Fusobacteria bacterium partial 16S ribosomal RNA". It matches the Rfam family "Bacterial small subunit ribosomal RNA", at positions 355 to 776 of the family's 1533-position model. Lineage: Bacteria; Fusobacteriati; Fusobacteriota. The record is from RNAcentral.
UGGGGGAUUUUGCACAAUGGGCGCAAGCCUGAUGCAGCGACGCCGCGUGAGGGAUGAAGGCCUUCGGGUUGUAAACCUCUUUCGCUGGGUUGAAAGGCCAUGCUUUGGGUGUGGUUGAUUUGAACUGGUAAAGAAGUACCGGCUAACUACGUGCCAGCAGCCGCGGUAAUACGUAGGGUACUAGCGUUGUCCGGAUUUAUUGGGCGUAAAGGGCUUGUAGGUGGUUUGUCGCGUCUGUCGUGAAAUCCUGUGGCUUAACCAUGGGCUUGCGGUGGGUACGGGCAGGCUUGAGUGCGGUAGGGGAGACUGGAAUUCCUGGUGUAGCGGUGGAAUGCGCGGAUAUCAGGAGGGACACCGGUGGCGAGGGCGGGUCUCUGGGCCGUUACUGACACUGAGGAGCGAAAGCGUGGGGAGCGAACAGG